This 100-nucleotide small nucleolar RNA is filed under the name Drosophila erecta. RNAcentral describes it as "snoRNA:GG25967". Lineage: Eukaryota; Metazoa; Arthropoda; Insecta; Diptera; Drosophilidae. The record is from RNAcentral.
AGUUUCUUGAUGAUUGUUCUAUUUUCUGAAGAGUCGAGUGCCAAGUCGCAAGAUUUGGCAUUCUUUUCCUGUGGAAAGAAUAAGAACGGCCAACUGAUAA